Folsomia candida is the source of this 638-nucleotide long non-coding RNA. RefSeq lists it as uncharacterized. The record is from RefSeq and is a predicted model, not a curated record. Lineage: Eukaryota; Metazoa; Arthropoda; Collembola; Entomobryomorpha; Isotomidae. The transcript is spliced from 6 exons.
AAAGUUCUUCAGUAUGCAUGCAGCAUCUAAACGGUGUGGUAACCUUACCGUCUCAAACCCCAAAAAUGUGUUUAACAGGACGAGAAGAGCCAGAGAAACUUGAGCCACAAGAACUUUUAGGGUAUCCGGAAUUGGAUGAAUUGCCAGAACAACCCAGAACAACCCAACAACCCAGAGCUGCCGAGGAAAUGAUCGACGAGGGGGACGCGCACAUGAUUCUCUUUUUGCGAGUAAAUCUAAUGACAGCGGGUUAUCUGCUCACAGAUUGUCAGUUGGCGUUCGAGACAGGAAUUCAGCUAUGGAAGCAAUUGACGACACAAAGUACGACGAUAAUGAAAUCAAGAAAUUGUACACGGAAAAUGAAACCCAAAAAUUAAAGGAACUUUUCGAAGAGAGGAACACAAAUGAUCAAAGGAGAAGUUCCACCGUUGCUGGUUGUCUAACAAGGGACACUCACGACCUGUCGUUUGAGUCCAGGGUCGUGAGUGUCCCUUGUAAGAACUAUUGAGAGGAAAAUGACGCUUGAAAGUUUGAAUGCUGAGUACACUCGGCUUAUUGAAGUGUUCGAGAAAAAAUAAUUAUCACAAAUUUUCAAUAACUUCCACCACAUUAAAAUGGCAAAAUUAGAUUAAAAUAAA